This is a long non-coding RNA of Oncorhynchus tshawytscha (Chinook salmon), 1892 nucleotides long. The record is from Ensembl. NCBI's taxonomy places the organism in Eukaryota, Metazoa, Chordata, Actinopteri, Salmoniformes, Salmonidae.
UUUUCUUUUGAUUUUCCCAUGAUGUCAAGCAAAGAGGCACAGAGUUUGAAGGUUGGCCUUAAAAUACAUCCACAGGUACACCUCCAAUUGACUCAAAUUGUGUCAAUUAGACUAUCAAAAGCUUCCAAAGCCAUGACAUCAUUUUCUGGAAUUUUCCUAGCUGUAUAAAGGCACAGUCAACUUAGUGUAUGUAAACUUCUGACCCACUGGAAUAGUAAUACAGUGAAUAUAAGUGAAAUAAUCUGCCUCUGAUUGGGAACCACACUCUGCAAAAAACAAAGAAAUAGAAAACAUAGAAAUCAAGAAACUAUAAUGGCCAACCUAGUCACACCCUGGCCUAACCAAAAUAGAGAAUAAAAGCCUCUAUGGCCAGGGCGUGACAGUACCCCCACCCAAAGGUGCGGACUCCGGCAGCAAAACCUGACUCUAAAGGGUAGGGUCCGGGUGGGCAUCUCUUCAUGGCGGCGGCUCUGGUGCGGGACGUAGACCCCCCUCCGCCCGCAGAUCCCUUAGCUUUGGUGGCAGCCCUGGUGCAUGGACCUUCACUGGAGGAACCGGGCCGCAGAUCAUCGCCGGCGGAACCAGACCACCGAUCAUUGCCCGGAGGCUCCGGACCGUCGCUGGAGGCUCCGGAUUGGAGACCGUCGCUGGAGGCUUCGUGCCAUGGAUCAUCACUGGAGGCUCCGUGCCAUGGAUCAUCACUGGAGGCUUCAUGCCAUGGAUCAUUACUGGAGGCUUCGUGCCAUGGAUCAUGAGUGGAGGCUUCGGGCCAUGGAUCAUCACUGGAGGCUUUGAACGUGGAGCUGGAACAGGUCUCACCGGACUGAGGAGACGUACUGGCAGCCUAGUGAGUGGAGCUGCCACAACACGACCUGGCUGGAUACCCACUCUAGCUCGGUGAGUGUGGAGAGCUGGCACAGGACACACUGGGCUAUGACGGCGCACUGGAGGCAUAGUGCGUAGAGCCAGCGCAGGACACACUGGACCGGGGAGGUGCACCGGAGGUCUGGAGCGCAGAGCUGGCAUAACUCGUCCUAGCUGGAUACCCCCCUUAGCCCGGCAACUGCGGGGAGCGGGAACAGGCCGCACUGGGUUGUCCUGGCGAACUGGGGAUACCGUGCGUAGAGCUGGCGCAGGAUAACCUGGGCUAAAGAGACUCACCGGAGGCCAGGAGCGCUGAGCUGGCACAAUCCCUCCUGGCUGAAUGCCACUCUAGCACGGCAACUGCGGGGAGCUUGCAGAGAGCGCACUGGGCUGUGGCUGCGCACCGAAGGCAUGGUGCGCAGAACUGGAUAACACUGUGCUUGACCAGUCAUUCUCUCCCCACGGUAAGCAUGGGGAGUUGGCUCAGGUCUACAAACUGACUCCACCAAUCUCCCCGUGUGCCCCCCCCAAAAAUGUUUUGGGGCUGCCUCUCAUGCUUACUUCGUUGCCGUGACUCCCUCCCUGCUUCCACCUGUUCCCAUGGGAGAGGAUCCCUUACGGCCAGGAUCUCCUCCCACGUCCAGUAUCCUUUGCCAUCCAGGAUGUCCUCCCAUGUCCCGUCCUCCUGACCAUGCUGCUUGCUCCGUUUGUGGUGGGAUCUUCUGUAAUGUUUGUCGUCGGAAGGAGACCAAGGUGCAGCGUGGUAAGUGUUCAUGAUUCUUUCAUUUCUCAGAACACCAAACAAAAACAACAAAAAGAAUAACGAACGUCACGUACUGCAGGCUUCACAGAGCUAACAAAAAACAAGAUCCCAACAAACACCAAAAGGAGAAUGACAGCUUAUACAGUGGGGCAAAAAAGUAUUUAGUCAGCCACCAAUUGUGCAAGUUCUCCCACUUAAAAAGAUGAGAGAGGCCUGUAAUUUUCAUCAUAAGUACACUUCAACUAUGACAGACAAAAUGCGAAGA